GUGCAUCCUGAGGGCAUGGGCUGGUCCAGGCACGGCAGGAACUGACAUGGAAGGAGAGCAGCACCAGUGGACACCAGAGGGGUUUGAAGAGGGUCAGUUUCAUCAUCCGUAAACUUGCCCUUGGUGUAGGGCACCCAGUCCAGAAUCAUCCACCAGUCCGUGGCCCACACCAGCCCCACAGCGUGAGGUCCACUUUCUAAAGAAUGGACCAAGGACCUGCAAGGCACCCCCUCCAGCACGCACAACAAUAUGGAAUUGCUUCUUCAGCCAUCAUCCUUACCACCUCACUAAGUCCAUAUGAAGAGAAGACCAGAAAUCGGAGGCGAAUUCGUUGACACACAAGCCAGACAUCAGAUUCAGGAGUUGACAGACUAAGGGAGAGCCUGCCACAGGGGACUACCUGGGAGCGCCACCAGAGUGGAGGGUGGUGAAAGAAUUUUUGAGAACUUGACACUUGCCUCCUGGAAUUUGAGGGCACCUGUGAACAUAGAGAAUGAUUCCGACUUCUCCCCCAGAGAAUGCUGCCCGUGGAAUAAAAUAACCUAUGACAGCGGGAGAGCCAUCUGGCAAAAAACUGAGGACCUCAGUCCAACAGCCAGCAAGGAACUGAAUCCUGCCAAAAACCAUGUGACUGAACUUGAACAUGGAUCCUGUCCCAGCUGAGCCUUGAGAUAAGACUGCAGCCCCAGCUGAUACUUCGACGGCAGCCUAUGAGAGACCCUGAGUGGACACCUUGAUGGAAAUCCUAUGAGAGAUUGUGAAGUAGAUGACUCAGUUAGGCCAUGCCAUUCUUGACCCAUAGAAAUGGUGAGACCAUAAAUGUGUGUUUCUUAAGCUAAGUUUUAUUUUUUUAAAGGUGGAAUUCAAGAUUAAAAGCAAUAAACAAUACACAAAGGGGCAUAAAUCGUUCCAUCUUUAAUGAAAGUAUGAGCCAUAAACCUUUAUGUACUGAAUUGUUAUAGUAGCUUAAGAUGUAAAGCAAAAGUCUUAGAAACACCAAGAAGAUUUUGAUAAAAACCACAACCAUAAUGGGAGAUUAUAAUAUACCUCCCUCAAAACUUAACUGAUCAAGUACACAAAAAAUAAGCUAGAAAGCAGAUGAUUUGGGGGACAUCUGGAUGGCUCAGUCUGUUGAGCAAUCGACUCUUGGUUUUUGCUCAGAUCAUGAUCUCAGGGUCAUGGGAUUGAGCCCCCUGUUGGGCUCCACGAGCAGCGAGGA
This is a long non-coding RNA of Ailuropoda melanoleuca (giant panda), 1219 nucleotides long. RefSeq lists it as uncharacterized. Lineage: Eukaryota; Metazoa; Chordata; Mammalia; Carnivora; Ursidae. The record is from RefSeq and is a predicted model, not a curated record. The transcript has 3 exons.